Molecule: small RNA, 2266 nt
Filed under: Pan troglodytes (chimpanzee)
Lineage: Eukaryota; Metazoa; Chordata; Mammalia; Primates; Hominidae
Description: retained intron
Source: RNAcentral
GUAGCAGAGGCUUAGUCUCCACCUCCCCACUGAGCACUGUUUUUGCCUCCCUUGAAGCAGCAGCUGCUACGGAGAGAGCCCGGCCUUGCAGUCUAGACCUGGACUCCAGGCCCAGCCUUGCCACUCACAGUGGCAACUUUGUGGGUCUGUUUCCUCCCUUGCAAAAUGAUUCCAUAUAAAACAGAUUCUGGGUCUGAUCACCGUGACUGCAUGCCACUAGCCUGCCUCAUCCUCUUAUCCCUCCUCCUUUUCUAUAGCACCAGCCGGCCACGGGCCAUGGCUAUCCUUGGAACAGAGGGUCGAGGCUCCUUCUCCUGCCCUAAAACCAAGACUGAUGGGAGCCCCAAGAGCACUAGCUCUCCGGUAACCACCUACCACCUGCAGCGGGCACUGCCUGGGGGCAUCAUCCUCAUGGAACUGGCAUUCCAGGGCUGUUACUUCUGUGUCAAACAGUUUGCCCUGGAAUGUUCCCGAAUCCCAAUGGGGCAGGCUGUCAACUCACAGCUGUCCAUGCUGUUCACAGAGGAGUGUGACAAGGUGCGGGACCUGAUGCACGUGCACUCGUUCAGCUAUGACUUCCAUCUGCGCCUCGUGCAUCAGCACGUGCUAGGUGCCCACCUGGUGCUGCGGCACGGCUACCACCUCACCACCUUCCUGCGACACUUCCUGGCCCACCACCCUGACGGACCCCACUUUGGCCGCAAUCACAUUUACCAAGGGACAUUGGAGCUCCCCACACCACUCAUUGCUGCCCACCAGCUGUACAACUACGUGGCUGAUCACGCCAGCUCUUACCACAUGAAGCCAUUGCGAAUGGCCCGGCCAGGGGGCCCAGAACACAACGAGUAUGCCCUGGUGUCGGCAUGGCACAGUUCUGGCUCCUACCUGGACUCUGAGGGACUUCGCCACCAGGAUGACUUUGAUGUAUCUCUGCUUGUCUGUCACUGUGCUGCACCCUUUGAGGAGCAAGGAGAGGCUGAGCGGCACGUUCUGCGGUCAGCAGAUCCCCUACCUUGAACAUGCCCAUUUCCCAGCCUGCCCCACCCUGCCCUGUGUGUCUCUUGCUACAACCACCACUCUCCUGCCCUGCUCCCCACCCCAGGCUACAGUUCUUCGUGGUGCUCACCAGCCAGCGAGAGCUCUUCCCCAGGCUCACUGCUGACAUGCGCCGCUUCCGGAAGCCACCCAGACUGCCCCCUGAGCCAGAGGCUCCUGGGAGUUCAGCUGGCAGCCCUGGGGAGGCCUCAGGGCUUGUUCUAGCGCCUGGACCGGCUCCUCUCUUCCCACCACUGGCUGCAGAGGUGGGCAUGGCACGAGCACGGCUGGCUCAGCUGGUGCGGCUGGCUGGAGGGCACUGCCGUCGGGACACCCUUUGGAAGCGCCUCUUCUUGCUGGAGCCACCAGGGCCUGAUCGACUGCGGCUAGGGGGGCGCCUGGCCCUGGCAGAGCUGGAGGAACUCCUAGAAGCAGUCCAUGCCAAAUCCAUUGGGGACAUCGACCCCCAGCUGGACUGCUUCCUAUCCAUGACGGUCUCCUGGUACCAGAGCCUGAUCAAAGUUCUCCUAAGCCGCUUCCCCCAGAGCUGUCGCCAUUUCCAAAGCCCAGACUUGGGAACUCAGUACCUGGUUGUGCUGAAUCAGAAGUUCACUGACUGCUUUGUGCUAGUGUUUCUGGACUCCCACUUAGGAAAGACGUCUCUGACAGUGGUUUUCCGAGAGCCCUUCCCAGUACAGCCCCAGGACAGCGAGAGCCCCCCUGCCCAACUGGUCUCCACCUACCACCACCUGGAGUCUGUCAUCAACACAGCCUGUUUCACCCUCUGGACCCGCCUCCUCUGAGGGAGUGGACUGGACCACUGAAUGUCACUGUUCCUUGAAUCAUGGGCCUACCAGAUUGCCUGCCAGAGGCAGGACUGACCAGCCCUUCUGGGCCCCAGGGCAAGCCAGACACUGAGUGACACCAAAGGCUUUGUAACUAUGUCUUGAGGGUCUGCUGCACCAGCCUGGCAGCAGGAACCGCCCUCCCCAAACACCCACAGCCACUGACCCAUCCAGGACUCCAGAGAGUCAGGUCAACCCCGAGGACCCCUUGGGCCCUUCUGGGGUACUCCUUUCGGCCCCCCUGGUAGAGUCUCGGGAGUUCACAUGGGGUGGCAAACACCCCCUAGAGCUCCUCUGCCUGAAUCCUGCCCCCUAGCCUUUGACCACUGUCAGCCACCUGUGUCCCUUGAGCCUUCGGGUCUUCACUUCCCACUUGGACAUCACUG